UAUCAAUAAGCGGAGGAAAAGAAACCAACAGGGAUUGCCCUAGUAACGGCGAGUGAAGCGGCAACAGCUCAAAUUUGAAACCUGGCGCAAGCCCGGAUUGUAAUUUGCAGAGGAUGCUUCUGGGCAGCGGCCGUUCUAAGUUCCUUGGAACAGGACGUCAUAGAGGGUGAGAAUCCCGUAUGUGACCGGCGCGCACCCUUUACGUAGCUCCUUCGACGAGUCGAGUUGUUUGGGAAUGCAGCUCUAAAUGGGAGGUAAAUUUCUUCUAAAGCUAAAUACCGGCCAGAGACCGAUAGCGCACAAGUAGAGUGAUCGAAAGAUGAAAAGCACUUUGGAAAGAGAGUUAAAAAGCACGUGAAAUUGUUGAAAGGGAAGCGCUUCCAACCAGACUCCGCGGCGGUGUUCCGCCGGUCUUCUGACCGGUCUACUCGCCGCCGUGGGGCCAACAUCGUCUGGGGCCGUCGGAUAAGACCGUGGGAAUGUAGCUCAUUGAGUAUUAUAGCCCGCGGUGAUGCGACGCGCGCCGGGCGAGGUCCGCGCUUCGGCAAGGAUGUUGGCGUAAUGGUUGGCAGCGGCCCGUCUUGAA
This 586-nucleotide ribosomal RNA is filed under the name Ramichloridium bicellularipes. Its description in RNAcentral is "eukaryotic LSU rRNA". It matches the Rfam family "Eukaryotic large subunit ribosomal RNA", at positions 41 to 658 of the family's 3401-position model. The record is from RNAcentral. Lineage: Eukaryota; Fungi; Ascomycota; Dothideomycetes; Mycosphaerellales; Dissoconiaceae.